UUACUCCUACGGGACGCAGCAGGAGGGAAUCUUCGGCAAUGGACGAAAGUCUGACCGAGCAACGCCGCGUGAGUGAAGAAGGUUUUCGGAUCGUAAAACUCUGUUGGUAGAGAAGAACGUUGGUGAGAGUGGAAAGCUCAUCAAGUGACGGUAACUACCCAGAAAGGGACGGCUAACUACGUGCCAGCAGCCGCGGUAAUACGUAGGUCCCGAGCGUUGUCAGGAUUUAUUGGGCGUAAAGCGAGCGCAGGGGGUUUAUUAAGUCUGGGGUAAAAGGCAGUGGCUCAACCAUUGUAUGCAUAGGG
Molecule: ribosomal RNA, 305 nt
Filed under: uncultured bacterium
Lineage: Bacteria
Description: bacterial SSU rRNA
Rfam family: Bacterial small subunit ribosomal RNA
Source: RNAcentral